GAAGAAUGUAUCUGAUAGUAACUGAUCAGGUAGUGACGGUAUCCAACCAGAAAGCCACGGCUAACUACGUGCCAGCAGCCGCGGUAAUACGUAGGUGGCAAGCGUUGUCCGGAUUUAUUGGGCGUAAAGCGAGCGCAGGCGGUUUCUUAAGUCUGAUGUGAAAGCCUUCGGCUCAACCGAAGAAGUGCAUCGGAAACUGGGAAACUUGAGUGCAGAAGAGGACAGUGGAACUCCAUGUGUAGCGGUGAAAUGCGUAGAUAUAUGGAAGAACACCAGUGGCGAAGGCGGCUGUCUGGUCUGUAACUGACGCUGAGGCUCGAAAGCAUGGGUAGCAAACAGGAUUAGAUACCCUGGUAGUCCAUGCCGUAAACGAUGAGUGCUAGGUGUUGGAGGGUUUCCGCCCUUCAGUGCCGCAGCUAACGCAUUAAGCACUCCGCCUGGGGAGUACGACCGCAAGGUUGAAACUCAAAGGAAUUGACGGGGGCCCGCACAAGCGGUGGAGCAUGUGGUUUAAUUCGAAGCAACGCGAAGAACCUUACCAGGUCUUGACAUCCUUUGACCACUCUAGAGAUAGAGCUUUCCCUUCGGGGACAAAGUGACAGGUGGUGCAUGGUUGUCGUCAGCUCGUGUCGUGAGAUGUUGGGUUAAAGUCCCGCAACGAGCGCAACCCUUAUUA
RNAcentral lists this ribosomal RNA (676 nucleotides) under Latilactobacillus sakei. RNAcentral's name for it is "bacterial SSU rRNA". It matches the Rfam family "Bacterial small subunit ribosomal RNA", at positions 444 to 1110 of the family's 1533-position model. Lineage: Bacteria; Bacillati; Bacillota; Bacilli; Lactobacillales; Lactobacillaceae. The record is from RNAcentral. RNAcentral also lists the same sequence under 1 other name.